CCGUAGCCCAAGAGAUCGGGAUAACACCUGGAAACAGAUGCUAAUACCGGAUAACAANAGAUGAUGCCUAUCAACUGUUUAAAAGAUGGUUCUGCUAUCACUCUUGGAUGGACCUGCGGUGCAUUAGCUAGUUGGUAGGGUAACGGCCUACCAAGGCGAUGAUGCAUAGCCGAGUUGAGAGACUGAUCGGCCACAUUGGGACUGAGACACGGCCCAAACUCCUACGGGAGGCAGCAGCG
This 239-nucleotide ribosomal RNA is filed under the name uncultured Lactobacillus sp. Its description in RNAcentral is "partial 16S ribosomal RNA". It matches the Rfam family "Bacterial small subunit ribosomal RNA", at positions 125 to 356 of the family's 1533-position model. The record is from RNAcentral. Lineage: Bacteria; Bacillati; Bacillota; Bacilli; Lactobacillales; Lactobacillaceae.